This 913-nucleotide ribosomal RNA is filed under the name Agaricus campestris. RNAcentral describes it as "eukaryotic LSU rRNA". It matches the Rfam family "Eukaryotic large subunit ribosomal RNA", at positions 61 to 961 of the family's 3401-position model. Lineage: Eukaryota; Fungi; Basidiomycota; Agaricomycetes; Agaricales; Agaricaceae. The record is from RNAcentral.
GAAACUAACAAGGAUUCCCCUAGUAACUGCGAGUGAAGCGGGAAAAGCUCAAAUUUAAAAUCUGGCGGUCUCUGGCCGUCCGAGUUGUAAUCUAGAGAAGUAAUGCCCGUGCUGGACCGUGUAUAAGUCUCCUGGGAUGGAGCGUCAUAGAGGGUGAGAAUCCCGUCUUUGACACGGACUACCAGUGCAUUGUGGUAUGCUCUCAAAGAGUCGAGUUGUUUGGGAAUGCAGCUCAAAAUGGGUGGUAAAUUCCAUCUAAAGCUAAAUAUUGGCGAGAGACCGAUAGCGAACAAGUACCGUGAGGGAAAGAUGAAAAGAACUUUGGAAAGAGAGUUAAACAGUACGUGAAAUUGCUGAAAGGGAAACGCUUGAAGUCAGUCGCGUUGGCUAGGGAUCAGCCUUGCUUUUGCAUGGUGUACUUUCUGGUUGACGGGUCAGCAUCAAUUUUGACCGCUGGAAAAGGGCCUGGGGAAUGUGGCAGCUUCGGCUGUGUUAUAGCCCCUGGUCGCAUACAGUGGUUGGGAUUGAGGAACUCAGCACGCCGCAAGGCCGGGUUUCGACCACGUUCGUGCUUAGGAUGCUGGCAUAAUGGCUUUAAGCGACCCGUCUUGAAACACGGACCAAGGAGUCUAACAUGCCUGCGAGUAUUUGGGUGGAAAACCCAAGUGCGUAAUGAAAGUGAAAGUUGAGAUCCCUGUCGCGGGGAGCAUCGACGCCCGGACCAGAACUUUUGGGACGGAUCCGCGGUGGAGCAUGUAUGUUGGGACCCGAAAGAUGGUGAACUAUGCCUGAAUAGGGUGAAGCCAGAGGAAACUCUGGUGGAGGCUCGUAGCGAUUCUGACGUGCAAAUCGAUCGUCAAAUUUGGGUAUAGGGGCGAAAGACUAAUCGAACCAUCUAGUAGCUGGUUCCUGC